This 378-nucleotide ribosomal RNA is filed under the name uncultured bacterium. RNAcentral describes it as "bacterial SSU rRNA". It matches the Rfam family "Bacterial small subunit ribosomal RNA", at positions 28 to 407 of the family's 1533-position model. The record is from RNAcentral.
AUUGAACGCUGGCGGCAUGCUUUACACAUGCAAGUCGAGCGGCAGCGCGGGGGCAACCCUGGCGGCGAGCGGCGAACGGGUGAGUAAUGCAUCGGAACGUAUCCCGGAGUGGGGGAUAACCUAUCGAAAGGUGGGCUAAUACCGCAUGAGCUCUGAGGAGGAAAGCGGGGGACCGAAAGGGCCUCGCGCUGUGGGAGCGGCCGAUGUCCGAUUAGCUAGUUGGUGGGGUAAAGGCCUACCAAGGCGACGAUCGGUAGCUGGUCUGAGAGGAUGAUCAGCCACACUGGGACUGAGACACGGCCCAGACUCCUACGGGAGGCAGCAGUGGGGAAUUUUGGACAAUGGGGGCAACCCUGAUCCAGCCAUGCCGCGUGAGUG